Non-coding RNA from Podarcis lilfordi (Lilford's wall lizard), 610 nucleotides. The record is from the annotation of a GenBank genome assembly. Lineage: Eukaryota; Metazoa; Chordata; Lepidosauria; Squamata; Lacertidae.
AAAUUAUUUUGGUGUGUUUUGUGUAUUGCAUGCUGAAAUUAUUUUGGUGUGUCUAGUGUGUUACAUGUUGAAAUUAUAUUGAUGUGUUUUGUAUGUUGUAUGUUGCAUGUCAGAUACUCUAGUGACUGAAUUGUCAAGUGUGGGCCAGGGCUUAGUGUCCCCCUUGGCCGAGCGAUUGUAGGGCUGUAGUGUGUGUAGAGUGAAAGAAUUUACAACCUGUUAGCAGCAGAGUAUCUGAAAAUGGGGUCUGGGGCAAGCCAAUGUAGUCCUCUGGAAUGUUUUUUAAACAACUGGAAAGCAGCCACAAAGCAUGAUGAUUGGGGAAUCAAAUUGAGGCAACGGAGGAUGAGAACAUUAUGUGAGGUUGACUGGCCCUCGCAACAAACUAACUGGCCCUCGGAGGGGAGCUUCGAUUUGCAACUAAUCAACCCACUGUAUCGAAAUAUCUUGAACGUCCACCCAGACCAGAUCCCCUACAUUUCUACUUGGAAAACCAAUGUAGAAAAGAACCCAUCGUGGUUGAAAGCCUGCCGAGGCGACGCCCACAAAGUACAGUUUGUGCAGUUCGACCGACAGGGAAGUCAGAAAAGCCCCCAGUGAUACCAGACCC